RNAcentral lists this unclassified non-coding RNA (315 nucleotides) under plant metagenome. RNAcentral describes it as "partial contains 5.8S ribosomal RNA, internal transcribed spacer 2, and large subunit ribosomal RNA". The stretch from base 1 to 105 matches the Rfam family "5.8S ribosomal RNA", at positions 50 to 154 of the family's 154-position model. The record is from RNAcentral.
GAACUGCGAUAAGUAAUGUGAAUUGCAGAAUUCAGUGAAUCAUCGAGUCUUUGAACGCACAUUGCGCCCCCUGGCAUUCCGGGGGGCAUGCCUGUCCGAGCGUCAUUGCUGCCCUUCAAGCCCGGCUUGUGUGUUGGGUCGUCGUCCCCUCCGGGGGACGGGCCCGAAAGGCAGCGGCGGCACCGCGUCCGGUCCUCGAGCGUAUGGGGCUUUGUCACCCGCUCGAUAAGGACCGGCCGGGCGCCAUCCGGCGUCUCCAACCUUUUUUUCUCAGGUUGACCUCGGAUCAGGUAGGGAUACCCGCUGAACUUAAGC